UGGACACAAUUUGGUUAUAAGGUUGGGCCGCUAUAGAACGCGAAAGUUCCAAGAAAAAUUCGCAGAUUCAAGUACUACGUAGCUCAAUAGUAGAAUCUUAUGACAAAGUUAUGAACUUCAAGCGAAACUUCCAAUGGAACAGCACAAAAAUCCUCAAACUCCACCUCCAUGACUGAAUAAAGCCCUUCCUCUGAGACCCACUAGACUAAGACAUCUUUGUUCCAAUUCACUGACUCCAAGGAUCAGCCAGUGUGCCCCCAUGCUGCUUGACUAUUCGAACUGCUUGCAGAAGAAUAUCCUGUUGGGCAGAAAACAGUUUGUCCUUG
This 326-nucleotide unclassified non-coding RNA is filed under the name Hevea brasiliensis (rubber tree). The record is from RNAcentral. Lineage: Eukaryota; Viridiplantae; Streptophyta; Magnoliopsida; Malpighiales; Euphorbiaceae.